This is a long non-coding RNA of Branchiostoma belcheri (Belcher's lancelet), 384 nucleotides long. RefSeq lists it as uncharacterized. NCBI's taxonomy places the organism in Eukaryota, Metazoa, Chordata, Leptocardii, Amphioxiformes, Branchiostomatidae. The record is from RefSeq and is a predicted model, not a curated record. The transcript is spliced from 3 exons.
CAGGCAUACAAAACUUGGCCGUGACCGGGACUACAAACGACUCGGCACGGUUGCGAUGGGACAGCCCCGUCUACCAGGGCGUUCUGAACUAUUAUAACGUCAGGUAUUGGACCGAAAUGGAUGACGGUAGGAAGAAGAGAGAAGUGGCUGAGAACAGAUACUCGUACGUACAACUGUACCCAGAGGAAUCUGCGCAGGCGCAAGCUGGCUACCCAGCGUACACCGCGAACAACGGAAAAGUCUCUGGGAUCGUGCCAAAUCUGUAUCCGGGAACAGUCUACAACUUUCAGGUCAGCCCAAAGGCGGUUCCAUACUCAGGGCCUUACACUACCACAGCACAGGGCAAGACACUGCCAAACGCCUUUUUAGCUGCAAGUCGUAUCG